AGUGAACGCUGGCGGUAGGCCUAACACAUGCAAGUCGAACGGCAGCACAGUAAGAGCUUGCUCUUACAGGUGGCGAGUGGCGGACGGGUGAGGAAUACAUCGGAAUCUACUUUUUCGUGGGGGAUAACGUAGGGAAACUUACGCUAAUACCUCAUACGACCUACGGGUGAAAGCAGGGGAUCUUCGGACCUUGCGCGAUUGAAUGAGCCGAUGUCGGAUUAGCUAGUUGGCGGGGUAAAGGCCCACCAAGGCGACGAUCCGUAGCUGGUCUGAGAGGAUGAUCAGCAAAACUGGAACUGAGAAACGGUCCAGACUCCUACGGGAGGCAGCAGUGGGGAAUAUUGGACAAUGGGCGCAAGCCUGAUCCAGCCAGACCGCGUGGGUGAAGAAGGCCUUCGGGUUGUAAAGCCCUUUUGUUGGGAAAGAAAAGCAGCAGGUUAAUACCCCGCUGUUCUGACGGUACCCAAAGAAUAAGCACCGGCUAACUUCGUG
RNAcentral lists this ribosomal RNA (492 nucleotides) under uncultured bacterium. Its description in RNAcentral is "partial 16S ribosomal RNA". It matches the Rfam family "Bacterial small subunit ribosomal RNA", at positions 29 to 507 of the family's 1533-position model. The record is from RNAcentral.